RNAcentral lists this unclassified non-coding RNA (257 nucleotides) under plant metagenome. Its description in RNAcentral is "partial contains small subunit ribosomal RNA and internal transcribed spacer 1". The stretch from base 1 to 54 matches the Rfam family "Eukaryotic small subunit ribosomal RNA", at positions 1778 to 1831 of the family's 1831-position model. The record is from RNAcentral.
GGAAGUAAAAGUCGAAACAAGGUUUCCGUAGGUGAACCUGCGGAAGGAUCAUUACUGAGUGAGGGCCCCUCGGGGUCCAACCUCCCACCCGUGUUUAACGAACCUUGUUGCUUCGGCGAGCCCGCCUCACGGCCGCCGGGGGGCAUCUGCCCCCGGGCCCGCGCCCGCCGAAGCCACCUGUGAACUCGUCUGAAGUAUGUAGUCUGAGACAAUUAUUAAAUUAAUUAAAACUUUCAACAACGGAUCCCUUGGUUCCG